Chinchilla lanigera (long-tailed chinchilla) is the source of this 1899-nucleotide long non-coding RNA. RefSeq lists it as uncharacterized. The transcript is spliced from 4 exons. The record is from RefSeq and is a predicted model, not a curated record. NCBI's taxonomy places the organism in Eukaryota, Metazoa, Chordata, Mammalia, Rodentia, Chinchillidae.
GGCGUUGAGGUUUGGGGGUGUAGGGGGCUGGGAUGGGGGAGUAGCAGUAAAGAUGCAGGCACCUGCUGUUCCAGGCCACCCAGGGAGCUGGGACAGGGGAGGCUGGGAGAAAGCAUAGGCCAGGUCAAGGUUCCUGCAAUGUCCCACUGAGAGCUGUGUACAAACUGUGCAUUCCAUUCCAACAAAAAGAGUGUACUUUAUCAAGAAAAGUUGUCCUAUAACAGAAGUCCAAAGAGUGCUUCUUAGAAUGGGUGGAAUUGAAUCUAGAUGGUCUUGAUCUAUAAGCAGGACUCGUGCGCAAUGAUGCAUAUGUGACAAACCCUAAAGACACAGUCUGUUAAAUAAUCCUGGACUGUGGGAGGACGUGCUGAUCUAAAUGAUUGGGCACAGCAUCACUGGCAUGGACAGCGUGGGGAUCAAUGUUAAAGUGUUUUAUGGUUCUCCACACGCUUCAGAGAAUAACUGGAGAGUGAAUCUAGACUUUUUCGAGAAGAUGUGUUAAAAUACCUAGGACCACCACUGACAGAAGACAUACAGCAAACAGAAGUCAAAACAUAUGAAAUAAGCCUGGCAAGCCUGAGGUCAUGAGUUUGAGUCCCGCUACCAAAAAAAAAAAAUCUAAAAUGAGAAUUGAGUGCAGGGAACAAAUUGGAAUGAAAAAAAAACAAAAUUCACAAUCCAAAAUACAGAAAGAAGUAGGAAGGUAAAAAUAAAAACAAAAAUGCAGGCAGAAAUAAAAUGAAUAGAAUCAAUGUAAAUCUACCAGUGAUUACUGUAAGUGAACGGUACUCAACUCUACGUGGAAAAGACGCAUUGUCAGACUAUGUUUUCGAAAAGCAAAUUCACCUUUAUGAGUCACUGCCUCUAAAACUAAAAUGACAAAAAUAAGAUUGAGAGUAGCAUGGAAAAAGAUGUGCAGGCAUCUGGUAAGGUAAAGCCCAGGAGGCAGCAAUUUCAAAGUCACUCAAACUGACUUUGAGGCAGAGCAGUAUUACUGGCAGAGGGGGCCACACCCUAAUGCGAAACCCUUCAUUUCCUCAGGCACUUAGGACAACUGUACAUUUGUGGGACCUCCCUUGUCUCUCCUUGAUUCCUCCUCUCCUGAGGAGUAGUUAGCAAGCACCAGGACUUGGUUCCUACAAUUUCUCUACCAUGAUUGUUCUUGGUGAUCACAUUCAGCUCUAUGGCAUCAAAUACAAGCUAUGCACUAACUCUGAAAGCUGUACCUUCAGCCAAUAGCCUACUGUGAGCUCCAGACUCAUCCAGAAAUCCAUUGUCUCUGUGACAUUUCCUUUUGGGUAUCUAAUAGUCUCUGCAACCUACUCCAUCAAAAGCUAAGCCUUUACUCUCACUCCCCAAACAUGUGCUUCUCCCAGGCUUUAACAUCUCAGAAGAAGAUCCUCCCAGAAGUUAAGGUCAAGAGAGGAGCAAAUUCACACAUAAUUGGCUGUGUCCAAGUCGGUGAGAGAAAACGAGAAGAGGGGACCAGGAGAGCUGAACACAGAAAAAGGACAUGCUGGAGAAAUCCAUCCCUGAUGUGCAAGGCAGACAGCUCAUUUCUGUAAUAUGCCAAGAUCUCCUACAUAGAGUGAGAGUUUUGCUGUUCCUCGUGGAAUAUCUGACCCCACCUGACUGGAAUCCCUCCUCUCCUCAUGCAGGAGCAGAGGUGUGUUGUUAUCCUCGGGUCGUGCGUCCCAGCGUGGUGCUCUCAUAGUUGAUGGCAAUGGAAUUCCUGAAGAGAGACUUCACAUCCCGAGCGUGGGUGCACCAAGCAUUAGGUUUGUAGCCUGGAUGGAAUCAAAGGAAAAGCCGAAGGAAGGCCGCUUUCUGCCUGCCCUGCUAUGGACUGUCUCCGGUGCCAUGCCGCCCUGCCUCAGAGCCAGCCAACGGCAGACUGAA